UCUGGCGGCAGCUAGCUCUUUGCAACUCUCACAUGGUCGCCCACUGAAGCUAAGCAGGGCUGCGCCCGAUCAGUACCUGGAUGGGAGACCACAUGGGAAAGCUGGGUUGCUGCCGGAA
Danio rerio (zebrafish) is the source of this 118-nucleotide non-coding RNA. The record is from Rfam. NCBI's taxonomy places the organism in Eukaryota, Metazoa, Chordata, Actinopteri, Cypriniformes, Danionidae.